CUAGAAAGUUAAGACUCGAACUUAAACCAGAAAGCCCAAAACUUUCCAUACUACCAAUAUACUACUUUCUA
Molecule: transfer RNA, 71 nt
Filed under: Elaphe bimaculata (Chinese leopard snake)
Lineage: Eukaryota; Metazoa; Chordata; Lepidosauria; Squamata; Colubridae
Description: tRNA-Gln
Source: RNAcentral